Molecule: long non-coding RNA, 1985 nt
Organism: Felis catus (domestic cat)
Lineage: Eukaryota; Metazoa; Chordata; Mammalia; Carnivora; Felidae
Exons: 3
Source: RefSeq, a predicted model, not a curated record
AGAGCUAUGGGCAAAGUUUGUUAAGAGCUCCCCUUAAUCCCAAAUAUUUGCACAAAGGGUUGAUUUUUCCAGAAUGCAAGUUCUGUGUCUAGUUUGAUGGCAUCAUUCACUAGAAAUUGCCAUUCACCUGGUGUUCUUCCGGCCCAAAGAGAGCUGCCAUUUGCACUCUAACACUUGUCUUCCCCAAAUGGUAAUUGAUUGCUUUCUACGCCAUGCUAGCGCUCGUUUACAAAAGCAGACUCGGAGAGCAGAAAAUAGGCAGCUCCAUGUUCUUGAAUUUGAGGCGUGUUCUGUGCCUGAACAGCGCCUAUAAACAUUACCAGGUGCAUCUUGUAGGCAUUGUUUCCAGAAUGGCCAUCUCACAAUGCUUCUGAUGCGUCUCCAACCACUUUGGCUUAAUUGGUUUCAUGUGCCAUUCACUCUAAUUUUGUGGAAGGCUGGUUUUUCUCUGGCAAUGGGUGACAUUUUCCUGGCCCGGCAAUCACAUGCCUGGGAGGUUUCUACUUGAGUGAAGGCGAAUUCUGGCCAAAGGAGCCUGGCUGACAUGCUGGAGGCUCAAAUCCUCCAGACACACAGAGUUACAGACAGAGAACAACUGGCGCCAUGCUGUGCAUUCCCACCCAUCUUCAGCACGUUAGGGAAGUGAGAUGGUGUGCCAUAUGGAUUCUCAAGCAGUCCAGUGAAGAGGACUCUGGGGACCGAAACCAAAACUUCCUGCCAAGGCACACAGCUUUGAAGGAGCUCUCGGGGGAUCGACCAUUCCAACCCUAUGGGUUUUUUUUUUUAACCAAUACCCCAGAACACAGUUAUGAAGUCUAUGUUGCAGAUGGGUCAACAAAUAUAUCUUCAUAUAUAAAUUUUUUUCUGCUUUAAAUUAAACCUUUAUUUAGGUUUUACAAACUUUGAGAACUAAGCAGCUGUUUAUAUUUUAAAGAAAUCCUUCUAGGCAGUGUAGAAAACAUUCAGACGUUUAAGAGGCAGUAAGACCUCUGCUCUGUGUUUACUGGGUAACUUUGGGCAAAGCACUGAAUGUCCAGUUGCCACUCAGGGAUUCUAAUUACAUUGUGCUUGGAUGGAGGCUGCACAUGGGGUUUUGUAAAGCCCUCUAUAUAAUUCGGAGUGCAUCCAGAAUUGCAAACUACUGAUAUAAUCUCUCAUAGUCUCGGUUCGGAGGUAGUAAUAUGGAGCCCUUGGUGGUUUUUGUGAGGAUUAAGGAUAAGUAAUUAAGACGAAGCUCCAAGCAUGGUGUUUGGCAAAUAGCUGGUACAUGAUGGAUGCUAUCCAGGAGUAUUUGAGGUUUGUUUUAAAAAUUUUUAUUGUGUUACACAAAGAUUCAGUACUUGCUUAGAUACAUCCAUUCAUUAUUUUUCCCUGGUGAGUCCUAAGGCUUUCAUAUUUAGAAAUCCCUUUCCCUUCAAGUGUCUUAUGAUUUCAUUUUUAUGUUUAUCCCACCUAUCUGGAACUUACUUGAGCAUAUAAUGCAAGGUGAGGCUAGGAGUUACCUUUUUUCUAAAGAGUCCAUUUUCCCCUGACCUGCCCUAAAUCCUCUCCUUCAGCCAUUGAUUGGUAACACCUUCUUAGUUCUGUAUUGGGUUUUUAGGUAUAUAUCAGCAUCUAUUUCUGGAACAACUGCUCUCAGAAAUGGAUUGUUUCUUUAUUCUUGUUCUAGUUUUUUAAAUGCUUAAUUAUUAAGGCUUUGAAGCAUCUUUAAUAUCUGUUGGAUUAAUUCAAACAUUUACCACCUUUCCUUUAUUAACAAUUUCUUCCAUAUUCUUGAUGGAGGUAUCUUUUGAGAGCAUCAAGUUCUUACCCUGCCUUCAGUAAUUCUUUGUCAGCUAACAGAAUCAUUCCAUUUCCCCAUUAAGUUACCCCAAAUGGAAAGAAAAGUAUACUAUUUACUCAGGAUCAAGGGAUGUAAUCCAAAGCAGCCUACAGAAGGCCAACAUUCCACUUGUCUAAGGUUCCAUUUUUAAAAUCCAAGCAAC